Molecule: ribosomal RNA, 776 nt
Filed under: uncultured Neocallimastigales
Lineage: Eukaryota; Fungi; Neocallimastigomycota; Neocallimastigomycetes; Neocallimastigales
Description: partial large subunit ribosomal RNA
Rfam family: Eukaryotic large subunit ribosomal RNA
Source: RNAcentral
UAUGUGAUCGUCUCUCGCAUAUCAAUAAGCGGAGGAAAAGAAACUAACAAGGAUUCCCCUAGUAACGGCGAGUGAAGCGGGAAGAGCUCAAAUUUGAAAUCUUAAAGGGUUUCCCUUUUACGAAUUGUAGUUUAAAGAAGUGUUUUCUGUUGAGGUUUUGGUAAAAGUUCUUUGGAAUAGGACAUCAUAGAGGGUGAGAAUCCCGUAUUUGACCUUUACUUUCAACUUUGUGAUAGCACUUUCAAAGAGUCGGAUUGUUUGGGAAUGCAGUCCAAAAUGGGUGGUAAAUUUCAUCUAAAGCUAAAUAUUGGCGAGAGACCGAUAGCGAACAAGUACCGUGAGGGAAAGAUGAAAAGAACUUUGAAAAGAGAGUUAAACAGUACGUGAAAUUGUCAAAAGGGAAGCGUUUGACACCAGUGUUGUUUUUCUGAAAAUCAAUUAAAGAACUGUUUAUGCUAAGUUGUUUAGACUUUAUCAGCUAACUGUUUAGUUUUGAGCUUUUCUUUAAUGCACUUUUCAGUUAACAAGUCAACAUCAAUUUCUUUUGCUGUAAAAAAGCUUGAGGAAGGUGGCUUGAGAUCCGUCUUAAGUGUUUAUAGCCUCUUGCCUAUGCAGUCGGAGAGAUCGAGGUCUGCAGCGUAGAUCCUUCGGGGCUAAAUGCAUUUGUGCUAAGUUAUAGCAUUUUAUAGACAACUUGUUGACUAUGAUUUGUCUUGUAGCUUACUCGCUUAUGUUAUUUUACCUACGCUUAGGAUGUUGAACGCGCACAGAGUCUC